RNAcentral lists this ribosomal RNA (3128 nucleotides) under Saccharomyces paradoxus. RNAcentral describes it as "21S ribosomal RNA". It matches the Rfam family "Bacterial large subunit ribosomal RNA". The record is from RNAcentral. Lineage: Eukaryota; Fungi; Ascomycota; Saccharomycetes; Saccharomycetales; Saccharomycetaceae.
GUAAAAAGUAGAAUAAUAGAUUUGAAAUAUUUAUUAUAUAGAUUUAAAGAGAUAAUCAUGGAGUAUAAAUUAUUAAAUAAGAUAAGAUUUAAUAAUAACUAUUAAUAGGAUUAGGUUACUAAUAAAUUAAUAAUAAUUAAUUUAAAAACCUAAAGGUAAACCUUUAUAUUAAUAAUAUAUAUAUUUAUAUUAUUAAUAAUAAUAAGAACUAAGUGAACUGAAACAUCUAAGUAACUUAAGGAAUAUAAAUCAACAGAGAUAUUAUGAGUAUUGGUGAGAGAAAAUAAUAAAGGUCUAAUAAGUAUUAUGUAAGAAGUAUGUAAGAAAAUAGGAUAACAAAUUCUAAGACUAAAUACUAUUAAUAAGUAUAAUAAGUACCGUAAGGGAAAGUAUGAAAAUGAUUAUUUUAUAAGCAAUCAUGGAUAUAAUUUUAAUAUUAAUGAUGUACCUUUUGUAUAAUGGGUCAGCAAGUAAUUAAUAUUAGUAAAACAAUAAAGUUAUAAAUAAAUAGAAAAAGUAUAUAUAUAAAAAAAUAUAUUAAAAUAUUUAAUUAAUAUUAAUUGACCCGAAAGCAAACGAUCUAACUAUGAUAAGAUGGGUAAACGAUCGAACAGGUUGAUGUUGCAAUAUCAUCUGAUUAAUUGUGGUUAGUAGUGAAAGACAAAUCUGGUUUGCAGAUAGCUGGUUUUCUAUGAAAUAUAUGUAAGUAUAGCCUUUAUAAAUAAUAAUUAUUAUAUAAUAUUAAAAUAAUAUUAUAUAAAGAAUGGUACAGCAAUUAAUAUAUAUUAGGGAACUAUAAAAGUUUUAUUAAUAAUAUUAAAUCUCGAAAUGUUUAAUUAUAUAUAAUAAAGAGUCAGAUUAUGUGCGAUAAGGUAAAUAAUCAAAAGGGAAACAGCCCAGAUUAAGAUAUAAAGUUCCUAAUAAAUAAUAAGUGAAAAAAAUAUUAAAAUAUUAUAAUAUAAUCAGUUAAUGGGUUUGACAAUAACCAUUUUUUAAUGAACAUGUAACAAUGCACUGAUUUAUAAAAAUAAAAUAAUAUUUAAAAUCAAAUAUAUAUAUAUAUUUUUGUUAAUAGAUAAUAUACGGAUCUUAAUAAUAAUAAGAAUUAUUUAAUUCCAAAAAUGGAAUAUCAUAUUAAAUUAAUAAAAAAUAUGAAUACUGAAUAUCUAAAUAUUAUUAUUAAUAAUAAAUAAUAAUAAUAAUAUGGUAAUAGAACAUUUAAUGAUAAUAUAUAUUAGUUAUUAAUUAAUAUAUUAAUUAAUUAAAUAGAGAAUGCUGACAUGAGUAACGAAAAAAAGGUAUAAACCUUUUCACCUAAAACAUAAGGUUUAACUAUAAAAGUACGGCCCCUAAUUAAAUAAAUAAGAAUAUAAAUAUAUUUAAGAUGGGAUAAUCUAUAUUAAUAAAAAUAAUCUUAAAAUAUAUAUAUUAUUAUUAUUAAUUUAUUAAUUAAUUAAUUAAUAAUAUAUAUAAUUAUAUUUAUAUAUUAUAUAUAUAUAUAAUAUAAACUAAUAAAGAUCAAGAAAAGUAUUAAUGUAUACCGUAAUGUAGACCGACUCAGGUAUGUAAGUAGAGAAUAUGAAGGUGUAUUAGAGAAUUAAAGGGAAGGAACUCGGCAAAGAUAGCUCAUAAGUUAGUCAAUAAAGAGUAAUAAGAACAAAGUUGUACAACUGUUUACUAAAAACACCGCACUUUGCAGAAACGAUAAGUUUAAGUAUAAGGUGUGAACUCUGCUCCAUGCUUAAUAUAUAAAUUAAAUUAUUUAACGAUAAUUUAAUUAAAUUUAGGUAAAUAGCAGCCUUAUUAUGAGGGUUAUAAUGUAGCGAAAUUCCUUGGCCUAUAAUUGAGGUCCCGCAUGAAUGACGUAAUGAUACAACAACUGUCUCCCCUUUAAACUAAGUGAAAUUGAAAUCGUAGUGAAGAUGCUAUGUACCUUCAGCAAGACGGAAAGACCCUAUGCAGCUUUACUGUAAUUAGAUAGAUCGAAUUAUUGUUUAUUAUAUUCAGCAUAUUAAGUAAUCCUAUAAUUUUAGGUAAUCGUUUAGAUAUUAAUGAGAUACUUAUUAUAAUAUAAUGAUAAUUCUAAUCUUAUAAAUAAUAAUUAAUUAAUUAAUUAAUUAAUUAUUAAUACUUAAUAGAUAUAAUUUCUUAAGUAAUAUAUAAUAUAUUAUAUUAUUAUAUGUAUUAUAUAUAUAUAUAAGAGACAAUCUCUAAUUGGUAGUUUUGAUGGGGCGUCAUUAUCAGCAAAAGUAUCUGAAUAAGUCCAUAAAUAAAUAUAUAAAAUUAUUGAAUAAGAAUAAUAUAUAUUAUAUAUAUUAAUUAUAAAUUGAAAUAUAUUUAUAUUUUUAAUGAAUAUAUUUUAGUAAUAGAUAAAAAUAUGUACAGUAAAAUUGUAAGGAAAACAAUAAUAACUUUCUAUUUAUUAAUUUAUAAUAAAAUAUAGAAAGAAUUAGAUUAAUAUAAUGGUAUAACUGUGCGAUAAUUGUAACACAAACGAGUGAAACAAGUACGUAAGUAUGGCAUAAUGAACAAAUAACACUGAUUGUAAAGGUUAUUGAUAACGAAUAAAAGUUACGCUAGGGAUAACAGGGUAAUAUAACGAAAGAGUAGAUAUUGUAAGUUAUGUUUGCCACCUCGAUGUCGACUCAACAUUUCCUCUUGGUUGUAAAAGCUAAGAAGGGUUUGACUGUUCGUCAAUUAAAAUGUUACGUGAGUUGGGUUAAAUACGAUGUGAAUCAGUAUGGUUCCUAUCUGCUGAAGGAAAUAUUAUCAAUUUAAAUCUCAUUAUUAGUACGCAAGGACCAUAAUGAAUCAACCCAUGGUGUAUCUAUUGAUAAUUUAAUAAUAUAUUUAUAAUAAAAAUUUUAUAAUAAAUAUAUUAUCUAUAUUAGUUUAUAUUUUUAUAUAAUUAUCAUAGUAGAUAAGCUAAGUUGAUAAUAAAUAAAUAUUGAAUACAUAUUAAAUAUGAAGUUGUUUUAAUAAGAUAAUUAAUCUGAUAAUUUUAUACUAAAAUUUAAUAAUUAUAGGUUUUAUAUAUUCUUUAUAUAUUAAUAAUAUUUUAUAUAAUAUUAAUAAAAUACUAAUUUAUCAGUUAUCUAUAUAAUAUCUAAUCUAUUAUUCUAUAUACU